UAGGGAAUCUUCGGCAAUGGACGGAAGUCUGACCGAGCAACGCCGCGUGAGUGAAGAAGGUUUUCGGAUCGUAAAGCUCUGUUGUUAGAGAAGAACGUUGGUAGGAGUGGAAAAUCUACCAAGUGACGGUAACUAACCAGAAAGGGACGGCUAACUACGUGCCAGCAGCCGCGGUAAUACGUAGGUCCCGAGCGUUGUCCGGAUUUAUUGGGCGUAAAGCGAGCGCAGGCGGUUCUUUAAGUCUGAAGUUAAAGGCAGUGGCUUAACCAUUGGCCGCUUUGGAAACUGGAGGACUUGAGUGCAGAAGGGGAGGGUGGAAUUCCAUGUGUGGCGGUGAAAUGCGUAGAUAUAUGGAGGAACACCGGUGGCGAAAGCGGCUCUCUGGUCUGUAACUGACGCUGGGGCUCGAAAGCGUGGGGAGCAAACAGG
This 429-nucleotide ribosomal RNA is filed under the name Bacillota bacterium. RNAcentral describes it as "Firmicutes bacterium partial 16S ribosomal RNA". It matches the Rfam family "Bacterial small subunit ribosomal RNA", at positions 355 to 776 of the family's 1533-position model. Lineage: Bacteria; Bacillati; Bacillota. The record is from RNAcentral.